UGUUAAAAAUUUUAUCCAUUUGUACGGUUAAAAAUUAGCGUAGUUGACAAAAUAACCAAAUAAUGACACGUGGUGAGCGAUAUGUAUCUCAUGUUGGCGUACAAGAACGAAUUGUUAAUAGUAAAAAAUGGAUGAAAUUUUUAAUA
Molecule: non-coding RNA, 146 nt
Organism: Gossypium raimondii (Peruvian cotton)
Lineage: Eukaryota; Viridiplantae; Streptophyta; Magnoliopsida; Malvales; Malvaceae
Source: Rfam